Non-coding RNA from Triticum aestivum (bread wheat), 135 nucleotides. Lineage: Eukaryota; Viridiplantae; Streptophyta; Magnoliopsida; Poales; Poaceae. The record is from Rfam.
GUAGUAUUCCCUCCAUCCCAAAUUUUUUGUCUUACAUUUGUUUAGAUACAGAUGUAUCUAAAACUCAAAUGUAACUAGAUACAUCCGUAUUUAGACAAACUUAAGACAAGAAUUUUGGGAUGGGGGGAGUACAAA